CCUACGGGAGGCAGCAGUGAGGAAUAUUGGACAAUGGACGCAAGUCUGAACCAGCCAUGCCGCGUGCAGGAAGACGGCUCUAUGAGUUGUAAACUGCUUUUGUACGGAGGUAAACGCAGGUGCGCGUAUCUGUCUGAAAGUAUCGUACGAAUCAGGAACGGCUAACUCCGUUCCAGCCGCCGCGGUAAUACGGAGGAUGCAAGCGUUAUCCGGAUUUAUUUGGUUUAAAGGGUGCGUAGGCGGUCGGAUAAGUUAGAGGUGAAAUCCCGAGGCUCAACUUCGGAAUUGCCUCUGAUACUGUUCGGCUAGAGUGUAGUAGCGGGAGGCGGAAGGGAUGGUGUAGCGGUGAAAUGCUUAGAGAUCAGACAGAACACCGAUUGCGAAGGCAGCUUACCAAGCUACUUCUGACGUUGAGGUACGAAAGCGUGGGGAGCAAACAGGAUUAGAUACCCGGGUAGUC
This 460-nucleotide ribosomal RNA is filed under the name uncultured bacterium. Its description in RNAcentral is "partial 16S ribosomal RNA". It matches the Rfam family "Bacterial small subunit ribosomal RNA", at positions 338 to 795 of the family's 1533-position model. The record is from RNAcentral.